Molecule: ribosomal RNA, 253 nt
Filed under: uncultured bacterium
Lineage: Bacteria
Description: partial 16S ribosomal RNA
Rfam family: Bacterial small subunit ribosomal RNA
Source: RNAcentral
UACGGAGGGUGCGAGCGUUGUCCGGAAUCACUGGGCGUAAAGGGCGCGUAGGUGGCGCGGGCAGUCAACGGUGAAAGUUCGGGGCUCAACCCUGAAUCGGCCGUCGAUACUCCCGGGCUUGAGCACUGUAGAGGCAGAUGGAAUUCCGGGUGUAGCGGUGGAAUGCGUAGAGAUCGGGAGGAACACCUGCGGCGAAAGCGGCUCACUGGACCAUAACUGACGCUGAUGCACGAAAGCUAGGGGAGCAAACAGG